RNAcentral lists this ribosomal RNA (441 nucleotides) under Chaetoceros curvisetus. RNAcentral's name for it is "partial Eukaryotic small subunit ribosomal RNA". It matches the Rfam family "Eukaryotic small subunit ribosomal RNA", at positions 1 to 444 of the family's 1831-position model. The record is from RNAcentral. Lineage: Eukaryota; Bacillariophyta; Thalassiosirophyceae; Chaetocerotales; Chaetocerotaceae.
ACCUGGUUGAUCCUGCCAGUAGUCAUAUGCUUGUCUCAAAGAUUAAGCCAUGCAUGUCUAAGUAUAAACGACUCUAUACUGUGAAACUGCGAAUGGCUCAUUAUAUCAGUUAUAGUUUAUUUGAUAGUCCCUACUACUUGGAUAACCGUAGUAAUUCUAGAGCUAAUACAUGCAUCAACUCCCAACUGCUUCGGCGGACGGGAUGUAUUUAUUAGAUGGAAACCAAUACCGAGUUUUCUCGGUUUUUGUGGUGAAUCAUAGUAACUGUGCGAAUCGACUUCGGUCGAUGGUUCAUUCAAGUUUCUGCCCUAUCAGCUUUGGAUGGUAGGGUAUUGGCCUACCAUGGCUUUAACGGGUAACGGAGAAUUGGGGUUCGAUUCCGGAGAGGGAGCCUGAGAAACGGCUACCACAUCCAAGGAAGGCAGCAGGCGCGUAAAUUAC